This is a long non-coding RNA of Oryza brachyantha (malo sina), 1187 nucleotides long. RefSeq lists it as uncharacterized. The record is from RefSeq and is a predicted model, not a curated record. Lineage: Eukaryota; Viridiplantae; Streptophyta; Magnoliopsida; Poales; Poaceae. The transcript has 3 exons.
AUCUCACGGCCUCCCCCUGCCCUCCUCCCCGAUGCCGCCUCAUGCUCGCGCCGCCUUCGCCUCCGCUUGCGCUGGCGCCACCGCGUCCUCUCCCGUGCCGUCUGCCCCCAUUCGGCGGCGAUUCCAGUCAAGCCAGUGGUCGAUGCGCUGCCCCUGCCCCCGGCGGGCCAGCCGACCGCCAUUUCGGCCGGCCCCCGACUCGUCGCCCCCCGCCGUGCCGGCCACCCGACGCGACGUCCUCCCUCCACUAUCCUAUGCCGCCGCCGCCUCGUCGCUUGCUCUGGUGGGUCGUGUCCUCCUCGCAGUGCCGCCGCUGCCCCUGCUCUUCUUGUUGUUGCCAGUACCACCGCUCUUUCUUCUCGCACUCAAAUGUGUUGCAUUGACGCAACUCCGCUUUGCCACCAUGGGGCCAGAUCUGGUAGAGGGGAGGCCGUGCUGGGCAGAUUUGGUGGCCACGACCUCCCUGUUGGUGGAUCCGGACGCCUGAAGGCGAGGGCGACAACUAACGCAUGAGGCUCGUGGGCGGUGCUGGUGGUAGGAGGCGCCUCAGUCGCCUCGGUGGUGGCUGCCUCGACCUGACGAGCAGGGCGUCGGCAUGGAUUUUCUUGCUAUCAAUGCUACUUCAGCUUGAAGCCCAACUAGCGACCAAUGAAGCAAACGACUAAUCUAGAGAAGCUAGAAGGAUGACAAAUGAGGUGUUUACAGUGGGGGGAGAUGUUGAGGUGCUUGGCCAUCAAUAGAUAGGUUGGUAGUGCGCGCAAUGCACGCCGUCCAAUAGAAACAAGCAGGAAAGGAUAGAGGGAUAAGUACUUGGAGAAAGUACGAAGAAAAUAAGCCAAUUUUUUUUAUCUGCCUGGAUGCAUCCUCUCGAGAAAAAGACCGGGUCGACACCUCAAACUUCAAAGCGACGUCUUACCACUUCCCCAACCAUUCGUGCGUGCAACAGGAGAACGCCAACAUCUGAUCUGAUGCAGUAGUGAUCUCUUCUCCUCCAUGUACAGAACGACAACUCCAACUUGGAAAAUCACCAAAGUCUCAGAGCAAAAUUAUGGCAUUGCAACCCUAGGGAGUGUUUGUUUCUCUCUAACUUUUUUUAAUUAAGUCCCUAUCACAUCGAGUGUUUGUACACUAAUUAGAAAUAUUAAAUAUAGAUUAUUAAUAAAACUCACCUCAUUAUCUGAACUAUU